AAUGAUGGUGACCUAAACCCUCACCAGAGUAGCAAUUGGAGGGCAAGUCUGGUGCCAGCAGCCGCGGUAAUUCCAGCUCCAAUAGCGUAUAUUAAACUUGUUGCAGUUAAAAAGCUCGUAGUUGUAUUUCUGCGUCUCCGUUUUUGACUUUUGUCUUUUUCGGUUUCGCUUUUGGGUUUCUUCCCUUUUUACUUUGAGAAAAUUAGAGUGUUUCAAGCAGACUUUUGUCUUGAAUACUUCAGCAUGGAAUAAUAAAGUAGGACUUUGGUUCUAUUUUGUUGGUUUACGAACCUUAGUAAUGGUUAAUAGGAACGGUUGGGGGCAUUCGUAUUUAACUGUCAGAGGUGAAAUUCUUAGAUUUGUUAAAGACGAACUACUGCGAAAGCAUUUGCCAAGGACGUUUCCAUUAAUCAAGAACGAAAGUUAGGGGAUCGAAGACGAUCAGAUACCGUCGUAGUCC
This 460-nucleotide ribosomal RNA is filed under the name Babesia sp. Its description in RNAcentral is "SSU rRNA". It matches the Rfam family "Eukaryotic small subunit ribosomal RNA", at positions 513 to 1026 of the family's 1831-position model. Lineage: Eukaryota; Apicomplexa; Aconoidasida; Piroplasmida; Babesiidae. The record is from RNAcentral.